GACGAACGCUGGCGGCGUGCUUAACACAUGCAAGUCGAACGGAAAGGCCCUGCUCUUGUGGGGUGCUCGAGUGGCGAACGGGUGAGUAACACGUGAGUAACCUGCCCUUGACUUUGGGAUAACUUCAGGAAACUGGGGCUCAUACCGGAUAGGAGCUCCUGCUGCAUGGUGGGGGUUGGAAAGUUUCGGCGGUUGGGGAUGGACUCGCGGCUUAUCAGCUUGUUGGUGGGGUAGUGGCUUACCAAGGCUUUGACGGGUAGCCGGCCUGAGAGGGUGACCGGCCACAUUGGGACUGAGAUACGGCCCAGACUCCUACGGGAGGCAGCAGUGGGGAAUAUUGCACAAUGGGCGGAAGCCUGAUGCAGCAACGCCGCGUGCGGGAUGACGGCCUUCGGGUUGUAAACCGCUUUCGCCUGUGACGAAGCGUGAGUGACGGUAAUGGGUAAAGAAGCACCGGCUAACUACGUG
RNAcentral lists this ribosomal RNA (468 nucleotides) under uncultured bacterium. RNAcentral's name for it is "partial 16S ribosomal RNA". It matches the Rfam family "Bacterial small subunit ribosomal RNA", at positions 28 to 507 of the family's 1533-position model. The record is from RNAcentral.